This 336-nucleotide unclassified non-coding RNA is filed under the name soil metagenome. RNAcentral's name for it is "partial contains 5.8S ribosomal RNA, internal transcribed spacer 2, and large subunit ribosomal RNA". The stretch from base 1 to 120 matches the Rfam family "5.8S ribosomal RNA", at positions 35 to 154 of the family's 154-position model. The record is from RNAcentral.
GAUGAAGAACGCAGCGAAAUGCGAUAAGUAGUGUGAAUUGCAGAAUUCAGUGAAUCAUCGAAUCUUUGAACGCACAUUGCGCCCCUUGGUAUUCCAUGGGGCAUGCCUGUUCGAGCGUCAUUUGUACCUUCAAGCUUUGCUUGGUGUUGGGUGUUUGUCUCGCCUUUGCGUGUAGACUCGCCUUAAAAUAAUUGGCAGCCGGCGUAUUGAUUUCGAAGCGCAGUACAUCUCGCGCUUUGCACUCAUAACGACAGCGUCCAAAAGUACAUUUUACACUCUUGACCUCGGAUCAGGUAGGGAUACCCGCUGAACUUAAGCAUAUCAAUAAGCGGAGGA